Molecule: non-coding RNA, 256 nt
Organism: Kogia breviceps (pygmy sperm whale)
Lineage: Eukaryota; Metazoa; Chordata; Mammalia; Artiodactyla; Physeteridae
Source: RefSeq, a predicted model, not a curated record
GUGGAAGCAUGGGCACCCUUGUUUCUUCUGAGCAAAUCUCCAAAAGGGAGAUGUGACACUUCUUAGAAGUAUGGUGAAACGAAGUUUGAGGAAUCAAAGUCUGAAGGAUCCAGAGGCUAUCCCAAGCUUGAAAGCAAAGUGAUAUCCUUAGGUUGGCCUUGGCUGUUUAAAGGACCUCUGGAUGGGGGAUGACUGGCUCUGCUCUGCACAGGACAGUUCCUUCUCAGGCUCAGCUGGAAUCUCUGGGAACAGUGGA